This 253-nucleotide ribosomal RNA is filed under the name uncultured bacterium. RNAcentral describes it as "partial 16S ribosomal RNA". It matches the Rfam family "Bacterial small subunit ribosomal RNA", at positions 524 to 776 of the family's 1533-position model. The record is from RNAcentral.
UACAGAGGUCCCAAGCGUUGUUCGGAUUCACUGGGCGUAAAGGGUGCGUAGGUGGCCAGGUAAGUUCGGUGUGAAAGCUCGGAGCUUAACUCCGAAAAGGCAUUGAAUACUAUCUGGCUGGAGGGUCGGAGGGGAGACUGGAAUUCUCGGUGUAGCAGUGAAAUGCGUAGAUAUCGAGAGGAACACCAGUGGCGAAGGCGAGUCUCUGGACGACACCUGACACUGAGGCACGAAAGCCAGGGGAGCAAACAGG